RNAcentral lists this ribosomal RNA (433 nucleotides) under uncultured bacterium. RNAcentral's name for it is "partial 16S ribosomal RNA". It matches the Rfam family "Bacterial small subunit ribosomal RNA", at positions 29 to 507 of the family's 1533-position model. The record is from RNAcentral.
AACGAACGCUGGCGGCAUGCCUAACACAUGCAAGUCGAACGAGACCUUCGGGUCUAGUGGCGCACGGGUGCGUAACGCGUGGGAACCUGCCCUUAGGUUCGGAAUAACUCCCCGAAAGGGGUGCUAAUACCGGAUAAUGUCUUCGGACCAAAGAUUUAUCGCCUUUGGAUGGGCCCGCGUUGGAUUAGCUAGUUGGUAGGGUAAAAGCCUACCAAGGCGACGAUCCAUAGCUGGUCUGAGAGGAUGAUCAGCCACACUGGGACUGAGACACGGCCCAGACUCCUGCGGGAGGCAGCAGUGGGGAAUAUUGGACAAUGGGCGGAAGCCUGAUCCAGCAAUGCCGCGUGAGUGAUGAAGGCCUUAGGGUUGUAAAGCUCUUUUACCCGGGAUGAUAAUGACAGUACCGGGAGAAUAAGCUCCGGCUAACUCCGUG